GCAAAUAUAGGUUAAUGGUAGACCAAAUGAUUUCCAAUCAUUAUGUGCUAGUUCGAGUCUAGUUAUUUGUA
Non-coding RNA from Yarrowia lipolytica, 71 nucleotides. The record is from Rfam. Lineage: Eukaryota; Fungi; Ascomycota; Dipodascomycetes; Dipodascales.